Molecule: long non-coding RNA, 337 nt
Organism: Medicago truncatula (barrel medic)
Lineage: Eukaryota; Viridiplantae; Streptophyta; Magnoliopsida; Fabales; Fabaceae
Exons: 3
Source: RefSeq, a predicted model, not a curated record
UUGACCGUUGAAGGAAAAGAUAAAAAGCAUUCUUCAGCUACAAAAGAUAAUUGAUUAUCACUGUUCCUCUCCCAUCUCAUUCUCACUGAAAUUUUAUUUUUGUUAUUCUGUUUGAAAAUUGAUAAGAAGCGUCUUAGAAUCUUUGUGCGAAACAGGCCUGUCUGGUCCCUAAACCAAAUUUUGUAGAAAACUUUCAAAGAAACAGGCCUGAUUUUAGUCUGGGCCUCCGUCCACAAACACAACGGCCACAUGAAGGUGGAGGUGUAGAGAAGUUUUGCGCGAAGGUAAUGAUGAAACGAUUAGCGUAUUAGUUUUGUAGGUUUAGUUUUAUGCUUAA